GAGGGUAUAGCUCAGUGGUAGAGUGUGUGCUUAGCAUGCACAAGGUCCUGGGUUCAAUCCCCAGUAUCUCCA
This 72-nucleotide transfer RNA is filed under the name Camelus bactrianus (Bactrian camel). It matches the Rfam family "tRNA". Rfam says of the family: Transfer RNA (tRNA) molecules are approximately 80 nucleotides in length. Their secondary structure includes four short double-helical elements and three loops (D, anti-codon, and T loops). Further hydrogen bonds mediate the characteristic L-shaped molecular structure. tRNAs have two regions of fundamental functional importance: the anti-codon, which is responsible for specific mRNA codon recognition, and the 3' end, to which the tRNAs corresponding amino acid is attached (by aminoacyl-tRNA synthetases). tRNAs cope with the degeneracy of the genetic code in two manners: having more than one tRNA (with a specific anti-codon) for a particular amino acid; and 'wobble' base-pairing, i.e. permitting non-standard base-pairing at the 3rd anti-codon position. RNAcentral also lists the same sequence under 2 other names. The record is from Rfam by way of RNAcentral. Lineage: Eukaryota; Metazoa; Chordata; Mammalia; Artiodactyla; Camelidae.